AUGGCAGGCUGUCUUAUUGCUCUUUAAAAGGAGAGGAAAGUCCGGACACCACAGAGCGGUAUAGCGGGUAACACCCGUCAUUCAUUUUGAAUAGGACUAGUGCAACAGAAAGUAUGUACAGUUAGGCUGUAGUGAAAUCGGUAAACUCUAUACGGUGCAACGCCAAGUAGGAUUGCUUUUGAAUUGCUCGUUCAGUGUAAUUGGGUAGGCGGCUAGAAUUUCUCAGAAAUGAGGAAUCAAGAUAAAUGAUAAGACUAGACAGAAUCCGGCUUAUAGGCCUGCCUUUUUU
This 289-nucleotide RNase P RNA is filed under the name Flavobacteriaceae bacterium. RNAcentral describes it as "RNase P RNA component class A". It matches the Rfam family "Bacterial RNase P class A". Rfam says of the family: Ribonuclease P (RNase P) is a ubiquitous endoribonuclease, found in archaea, bacteria and eukarya as well as chloroplasts and mitochondria. Its best characterised activity is the generation of mature 5'-ends of tRNAs by cleaving the 5'-leader elements of precursor-tRNAs. The record is from RNAcentral. Lineage: Bacteria; Pseudomonadati; Bacteroidota; Flavobacteriia; Flavobacteriales; Flavobacteriaceae.